Molecule: long non-coding RNA, 762 nt
Filed under: Hordeum vulgare
Lineage: Eukaryota; Viridiplantae; Streptophyta; Magnoliopsida; Poales; Poaceae
Description: long non-coding RNA (HVUL_LNC017508)
Source: RNAcentral
GCAGUUUACAUUUAUUUUAUUUAGUUGUCCAAUUCGAUGGAAACUUCCAAACAAAUUCAAUACGGUGUUGAGAAAUUACGAACAAAAAACAUCUUUCACAUGAUCUUUUUCUCUACGAAAUAAAGGGCAUUUAUAUGAUUACGUAUAAAACAAGAGUGUUUUCUGUAAAAAAAACUUGCGACGCCGGCACCUGACAGGCGGACCCAUCGGUCAAAUACACCAUCAAUACAUAUUUAUACGUGGUUUUGAUUUUUUUGUAACAGCUUGUCCGAAAGUUGAUACUAACAUGAAAAAAAAUAUCAAACUUACUACCAAUCUGCACAUACUACACAAUUGUGAUAUUUGUAUGCAAUUUAAUCUAGCAGAUGAGUCGAAGCAAGCCAGCUUUGUAUGUUGCCUCUUACGGGUAAGCAUGGGACAACUCGGGCCUGCGCCAACUAUAACUUGAAGCCUCUAUCAGUGGCCUUGACAACAAGAAGGCAGGCCGCCAGUGACUACCCCCGGAUAUGAAGCAGGAUGGGGCGAAGCUAUUCGAGGUGCCACGAGAGAUGCAUUCCCAGAUUUAGUGGCCGAUCAGGUGUGCUUGAUGAAAUCAAUAACAAGAUCAUUCUAGCCCGACGUUGGCUCUAUGUAUUCAAAGAAGUUCCUGAUACCUUCCAUUUCUGCGAAUAUUAUUUAUGAGAAUCAAACAUGAGUAUGUGGCAUUGCCUGUUUCUGUGAAAAGGUGGAAGCUCGGUUGGUGGCAUGCGAGAAGGAGAAACA